UGAGUACGAGAUGCUACGGCAUCGAAGCAGUCUAUGUCAUACUUCCAAGAAAAGCUUGCACUGUCAGAAACAGAUAAUGCCUGUACCAUAACCGACACAGGUGGGUAGGUAGAGUAUACUAAGGGGCGCGAGAUAACUCUCUCUAAGGAACUCGGCAAAAUGACUCCGUAACUUCGGGAGAAGGAGUGCCUUAUUUUUAAGGUUGCAAUAACAAGAUCCAAGCAACUGUUUACCAAAAACACAGGUCUCCGCUAAGUCGUAAGACGAUGUAUGGGGGCUGACGCCUGCCCAGUGCCAGAAGGUUAAAGAAGUCGGUUAGCAUUCGCGAAGCUGGUAACUGAAGCCCUGGUGAACGGCGGCCGUAACAAUAACGGUCCUAAGGUAGCGAAAUCCCUUGUCGGGUAAGUUCCGACCCGCACGAAAGGCGUAAUGAUUUGGAUACUGUCUCGGAGAGGGGCUCGGUGAAAUAGACUUGUCUGUGAAGAUGCGGACUACCUGCACCUGGACAGAAUGACCCUAUGAAGCUUUACUGUAACUUGAAAUUGAAAUUGGACUUUAUUUGCGCAGUAUAGGUGGGAGGCGUUGAAAAUAUUCUUGCGGGAAUAUUGGAGCCAUCAGUGAGAUACCACUCUUGUAAUGUUAGAUUUCUAACUUUAUAUCAUUAUCUGGUUAAAGAACAGUUUCAGGCGGGCAGUUUGACUGGGGCGGUCGCCUCCCAAAUGGUAACGGAGGCGCACAAAGGUUUCCUCUGAACGGGUAGAAAUCGUAUCUAGAGUGUAAAGGCAUAAGGAAGCUUGACUGUGAGACCUACAAGUCGAGCAGGGACGAAAGUCGGUCUUAGUGAUCUGACGGUGCUGAGUGGAAAGGCCGUCACUCAACGGAUAAAAGUUACUCUAGGAUAACAGGCUGAUCUCCCCCAAGAGUUCACAUCGACGGGGAGGUUUGGCACCUCGAUGUCGGCUCAUCGCAUCCUGGGGCGGUAGUACGUCCCAAGGGUUGGGCUGUUCGCCCAUGAAAGCGGUACGCGAGCUGGGUUCAGAACGUCGUGAGACAGUUCGGUCCAUAUCCGGUGUAGGCGUUAGAAUAUUGAGAGGAGCCUUCUUUAGUACGAGAGGACCGAGAAGGACAUACCUCUGGUGUACCAGUUAUCGUGCCAACGGUAAACGCUGGGUAGCUAUGUAUGGAGUGGAUAACCGCUGAAAGCAUCUAAGUGGGAAGCCCACCUCAAGAUAAGUAUUCUCAU
This 1243-nucleotide ribosomal RNA is filed under the name metagenome. RNAcentral describes it as "bacterial LSU rRNA". It matches the Rfam family "Bacterial large subunit ribosomal RNA", at positions 1564 to 2817 of the family's 2925-position model. The record is from RNAcentral.